This is a non-coding RNA of Cicer arietinum (chickpea), 480 nucleotides long. Lineage: Eukaryota; Viridiplantae; Streptophyta; Magnoliopsida; Fabales; Fabaceae. The record is from RefSeq and is a predicted model, not a curated record.
GGAAGAUAAUAACAAUGACUAGAAAUCAAAAAUUUAUCAUGGCUGCCUUUGUCGUAGUUCUUCUAUUCUCAACAGGUAUGGCCCUUCCAAAUACAACAUUGAAAUGUUUUUCUGAAUGUAAGCAAUAUAAAGAUUGUCAUUCCUUUUGUUCUAGACAGGGUUACACGUAUGGAAAGUGUUAUGUUAAUGAACGUAGAUUAGCUUGUUGUUGUUUCAAUUUUGUUGAUGACAAAGUUGAUAGUUAGAGAUUUUCUUCUUAUUUAAAGAAAAUAUUAUUAUUUAUAAAUACGAGUAUAAUUUUUAAGAAAUAAAACAUGAAAUGACAAUCUUGUCAUGACAUACAAAACAUACAUGUUGAAGCAAAAAAAUUAUUAUUGGACGAUGUACAAAACAUCCAAUAAUAAAUAUAAGUAAACUUUAUUAUUGGAUGUUUUUCUUUUGAAUUAACCUUUUAUGUUGCAAAACAUGCAUGUUCUUUUA